Molecule: long non-coding RNA, 470 nt
Filed under: Hordeum vulgare
Lineage: Eukaryota; Viridiplantae; Streptophyta; Magnoliopsida; Poales; Poaceae
Description: long non-coding RNA (HVUL_LNC007298)
Source: RNAcentral
UUGAUUGUUUGUUUCUGGAUUAUUUCUUCUCAAUAGAGUUCAAAACCGCUUCGGGGUGUGAGGAUUCAUUCGACUACGUUGGUUUGUCUACGUCAUGGAUUCGUUCUUCUUCCAAGCGUGAUCUCAAGCAACAUGAUCAUUUCCCUAGAUACCACUACUAUCAUUGACAUGCUAGUUGUCUCGUUUCUUACUCUAUGUCUCGCUGUCUACCACUGUUAUGUUCAGCCUCCCAACAUUUCCAUGAAAAGCCUCUAACCCCCUCCACAACCUAGCAAACCCUUGUUUGUCUAUGUUACCGCUUGCUCAGCCUUCUUAUAGUGUUGCUAGUUGCAGGUGUAGUUGCUUCCAUGUGAAAACAUGGAUUCCUUGUUAUAUGAUCGUAUUAUUGCUAUUUAAUUUCAUGCACCUAUAUACUUGGUAAAAGGUGGAAGGCUUGGCCUUCUAGGUUGGUGUUUUGUUCCAUAUUUGUU